Molecule: unclassified non-coding RNA, 392 nt
Filed under: soil metagenome
Description: partial contains 5.8S ribosomal RNA, internal transcribed spacer 2, and large subunit ribosomal RNA
Rfam family: 5.8S ribosomal RNA (bases 1-122)
Source: RNAcentral
GAUGAAGAACGUAGUGAAAUGCGAUACUUGGUGUGAAUUGCAGAAUCCCGUGAACCAUCGAGUCUUUGAACGCAAGUUGUGCCCGAAGCCAUUAGGCCGAGGGCACGCCUGCCUGGGCGUCACACGUCGUUGCCCCCCCCAUCUACUCCUUCGGGAUUGCGGGGGGCGGAUGAUGGCCUCCCGUGCGCCUCGCCGCGCGGUUGGCAUAAAUGCCAAGUCCUCGGCGACGCACGCCACGACAAUCGGUGGUUGCGAAACCUCGGUUGCCCGUCGUGUGCGGUCGUCGCGCAUCGAGGGCUCGAAAAAAUUGCCGAGUUCCGGCUCGGCUUUCAACGCGACCCCAGGUCAGGCGGGGUUACCCGCUGAAUUUAAGCAUAUCAAUAAGCGGAGGA